UAUUAACAUUUUUAAAAGGAAAAACAAAAAAAAUGAAACUCUAAAAUAUUUUAUCAUUACAAAAACAAGUGUCAAACAAUUACGGUUUGAGACGAUAUUAGAACAUUGCAACUGUGACUUGCAAAAAAAAAAAACAUCAAACAAAAUUAAUUCUUUAAUCUUUCAAACUAAAUCUCUUAGAAAUAGAGGCUCUGUUGUAUCGUCCUCCUCAUCGAUCUUGCAUUUUUCCUC
This 231-nucleotide long non-coding RNA is filed under the name Lathyrus oleraceus (garden pea). Its description in RNAcentral is "Pisum sativum (pea) long non-coding RNA (PSAT_LNC028025)". The record is from RNAcentral. Lineage: Eukaryota; Viridiplantae; Streptophyta; Magnoliopsida; Fabales; Fabaceae.